Molecule: ribosomal RNA, 1459 nt
Filed under: metagenome
Description: bacterial SSU rRNA
Rfam family: Bacterial small subunit ribosomal RNA
Source: RNAcentral
AGAGUUUGAUCCUGGCUCAGGAUGAACGCUGGCGGCGUGCUUAACACAUGCAAGUCGAACGGGAACCCCUGGAUUCGUCUGGGGGGGAGAGUGGCGAACGGGUGAGUAACACGUAGGUGACCUGCCUCGAAGACGGGGAUAACCACUGGAAACGGUGGCUAAUACCCGAUAGUCUCGACGAUUCGGUUCGUCGAGUAAAUGUUCCGGCGCUUCGAGAGGGGCCUGCGGCCCAUCAGCUAGUUGGUAGGGUAAUGGCCUACCAAGGCAAAGACGGGUAGGGGACGUGAGAGCGUGACCCCCCACACUGGCACUGAGACACGGGCCAGAUCCUACGGGAGGCAGCAGUGAGGAAUAUUGCGCAAUGGGCGAAAGCCAGACGCAGCAACGCCGCGUGGGUGAUGAAGGCCUUCGGGUCGUAAAACCCUUUUCUGGGAGAAGAGCAAGGACGGUAUCCCAGGAAUAAGCCUCGGCUAACUAUGUCCCAGCAGCCGCGUUAACACAUAGGAGGCGAGCGUUAUCCGGAUUUACUGGGCGUAAAGAGCGUUGAGGCGGCCUUGUAAGUUGGACGUGAAAGCUCCCGGCUCAACUGGGAGAGGUCGUUCAAUACUGCAAGGCUUGAGGACAGCAGAGGGGGGUGGAAUUCCCGGUGUAGUGGUGAAAUGCGUAGAUACCGGGAGGAACACCAGUGGCGAAGGCGGCCCCCUGGGCUGCUCCUGACGCUGAAUGCGAAAGCUAGGGUAGCAAACGGGAUUAGAAACCCCGGUAGUCCUAGCCGUAAACGAUGGAUACUAGGUGUAGGGGGUGAAAAUUCCCUCUGUGCCGAAGCUAACGCGUUAAGUAUCCCGCCUGGGGAGUACGGCCGCAAGGCUAAAACUCAAAGGAAUUGACGGGUCUCCGCACAAGCAGCGGAGCGUGUGGUUUAAUUCGAUUCGACGCGAAGAACCUUACCAGGGCUUGACAUGCAGGUAGUAGUGAAGCGAAAGCGGAACGAUCCCUCGGGAAGCCUGUACAGGUGCUGCAUGGCUGUCGUCAGCUCGUGCCGUGAGGUGUUAGGUUAAGUCCUGUAACGAGCGCAACCCUCACCGUUAGUUACAUGUGUCUAGCGGAACUGCCCGGCAAAACUGGGAGGAAGGUGGGGAUGACGUCAAGUCAGCAUGGCCUUUAUGUCCUGGGCUACACACACGCUACAAUGGCCGGUACAAUGGGUCGCCAAGCCGUGAGGCGGAGCCAAUCCUCUAAAGCCGGUCUCAGUUCGGAUUGUAGGCUGCAACUCGCCUGCAUGAAGCUGGAGUUGCUAGUAACCGCAGGUCAGCUACACUGCGGUGAAUACGUUCCCGGAGAUUGUACACACCGCCCGUCACGUCAUGGGAGCUGGUAACACCUGAAGCCGGUGGGCUAACCUAACGGAGGCAGCCGUCGAAGGUGGGACUGGUGACUGGGACGAAGUCGUAACAAGGUA